GGGGAACAGAACCAGAGCGAGAUGGCCGGUAGGCUACUUGGGAAACUCCUCAUCAUGGGCGGCAGGGCCAUGGUACAGCCGUAUAGGCCUAUGCCAAGCCAUCAUGAUUUCUAGGAGCACGGAGCAGAGGAGCGGAGGCCUGGGACGCAGCACGGGGCAGAGGAGCGAUAGUGCGGCGGUUGCACAGGUGGAAUGUUCGUGAGGACAAAGCGGUAUGAAGAAGUAACUCUACGAGAGAACAUCAUGGAUAUAGAGAUGGAGCACCCAUGCUUUUCAUGGAUUUUGAUGAACAGCAUGUCAAUGUCAACCUAGAUGAUGAUGACUUCUUCUGUACCGAGCAUCGUCAUCAAGGUAUUUUUUUCCUGCACACCAAAAUUAAAAUAUGUAGUGAUGGAUGAAAAUGGAACCUAAGUUAAAAUGUUAUAGCUUGAAAAACACUUGUACGCACAAAUAGUUUCUACUGGCGACCUCCAUAAGUGAAGCACAAACCUUGGUUAAUACGAGCUGACGGAAACCAAUAGCUGGGAUUUGUUGGAACCAGAAACUUCAACUUGUAAUGUACUUUCACCAUCAACUGCUAAGCCAUUGAUUUUUUAGUAUUUAUGCCCGAGCAUUAGUUUUGUGUAGAUUAUAUCGUUAGGUAUAAUUUUGCUUACAAACAUGCUCUGAACUGAGAUGUGUCCAUCUGCCUGCAGC
This is a long non-coding RNA of Triticum aestivum (bread wheat), 696 nucleotides long. RefSeq lists it as uncharacterized. NCBI's taxonomy places the organism in Eukaryota, Viridiplantae, Streptophyta, Magnoliopsida, Poales, Poaceae. The record is from RefSeq and is a predicted model, not a curated record. The transcript is spliced from 4 exons.